GACUCCGGCAGCCUCUGUCUUUCCCACUGCGGGCCCUGCCUUUCAGGGGCGGGGCCCGGCCGCACCCCACUUCCCGCUUUGCACGCAGAUGGGCUGGGCUAGCCCCGGAACUGCGGCCCUGCGGGGCCUGGCUCCUUAAUGAGCGGGCGGGCCGGUCUUGCAAGAUAAGGCCAGGCGCGGACCAGCUUGCUGGGUCCUCCUGGAGGCAGAGCCGCAGGUCUCCUGCAGGAGGCUGGAGCGUGAGCCGGCUGCGGAGGCGCCCGCGGUCCUCUGUGAGCGGUGGCGCUGGCUGGCGGGAAGCAGUGGCCGGAUAGCGGCCGGACGUGCCCUCCUGGCGAGCAGUAGGCCGAGGGGACCCUGCUUCCGGGGCGCCGCCGCGGGCAGCUGUUCCCACGUCUGCGUUUAACGGGACCUCGUGUCUGCGCGUGGGGAUGUGGCACUCGCCUGGCAUACUGGAGGCCUCUGGUUCCAUUUCUCAGCAUCACCAAAAAUAACACAAAGUCACAGUUCCGGAAUGGAACAGAAGAGCUCCCGGAGGGAAGGCACGGCUCUUCGGGCAACGUCCUCAGUCCCAAACAUCCCUCGCACACCCCGCACUCACAUGGGCCGGUUUAUGGGGACCCGCAGCCAGAGUCUCCCCAAGGCCUCACAAUCCAGGAGCUUCUUAACCUUUAGAGCUCGAUCUUCCGCCUCUGUCCUGUUUCUCUUUCUGCACCGCCACUGGGGAGCUCCAUGUCAGAUGUCAAAUUCCUUUCCUUCCCGCCUUGUCUUUAGCAUUUAUGCAAGACAGACGUUCUGCCCUGCAUUUUG
Long non-coding RNA from Chinchilla lanigera (long-tailed chinchilla), 810 nucleotides. RefSeq lists it as uncharacterized. The transcript has 2 exons. NCBI's taxonomy places the organism in Eukaryota, Metazoa, Chordata, Mammalia, Rodentia, Chinchillidae. The record is from RefSeq and is a predicted model, not a curated record.